RNAcentral lists this ribosomal RNA (498 nucleotides) under uncultured bacterium. Its description in RNAcentral is "partial 16S ribosomal RNA". It matches the Rfam family "Bacterial small subunit ribosomal RNA", at positions 30 to 523 of the family's 1533-position model. The record is from RNAcentral.
AUUGAACGCUGGCGGCAUGCUUUACACAUGCAAGUCGAACGGUAACAGGCCGCAAGGUGCUGACGAGUGGCGAACGGGUGAGUAAUGCAUCGGAACGUGCCCAGUCGUGGGGGAUAACGCAGCGAAAGCUGUGCUAAUACCGCAUACGAUCUAUGGAUGAAAGCGGGGGACCGUAAGGCCUCGCGCGAUUGGAGCGGCCGAUGUCAGAUUGGGUAGUUGGUGGGGUAAAGGCUCACCAAGCCAACGAUCUGUAGCUGGUCUGCUAGGACGACCAGCCACACUGGGACUGAGACACGGCCCAGACUCCUACGGGAGGCAGCAGUGGGGAAUUUUGGACAAUGGGCGCAAGCCUGAUCCAGCAAUGCCGCGUGCAGGAAGAAGGCCUUCGGGUUGUAAACUGCUUUUGUACGGAACGAAACGGCGAGCUCUAAUACAGUUUGCUAAUGACGGUACCGUAAGAAUAAGCACCGGCUAACUACGUGCCAGCCGCCGCCGUAA